GAAAGUUGCAAAGUACUUUGAAGAGAGAGUAAACAGUGCGUGAAACCGCUCAGAGGUAAACGGGUGGAGUUGAACUGCAAGCUUUGAGAAUUCAGCUGAUGAGUGUGGUUUGAGCUUGGUCAAAUUGGUGAACUCCGGGGUCUGCGUAGUAGCAGGUCUUUGCCUUCGGGUGAGGAUGCGCGAUACACUUGUCAAGUGUUGUGCGCUUCGGUUGUUCUUCGGCCUGCUCGUCAGUGCACUUUCUCUUAGUGGUCACCACGACCGGCACCGCUGUCUGGCUUCUUCGGUUAAACCGGUUUUGCUUAGUCAUAAGGCUUUGCUUGAUCGGGAGGGCAGGUAGCUCGUUGACUUGCUUGUGGUUCGCUGCAAGCGUUCGGUUUUCGAGUGUUAUUAGCUGACCGGAGUAGUACUGUGCAGUGUGUCGGAGACGGCGGCUUGUAGUGCGUGCAUGCGUGCCUGUUCUGCUGACUUGUCCGAGUUUGGUUAUUAUGUUGCCUGUUCAAGCAGGCCUGGUGAUGGCUCGGAUUCGUUCGGUGGGCGGUUGCGUGUGUUGCACCUUUCAGGGCCAACAGUCUGUGGUGUAGUGGUAGACUUUCCACCCGACCCGUCUUGAAACACGGACCAAGGAGAGUAACAUGUACGCGAGUCAUUGGGCGUUACGAAACCCACAGGCGCAGUGAAAGUAAAGGUCUGACUUGUUCAGGCUGAGGUGAGAUCCUGUCGUUUCUCACGCGCGGUACUACCAAGCAUCGAGCGGCAGGCGCAUCACCGGCCCGUCCCAUGGCAGUUGUCUUCGGACAGUUUUCGGUCGGGGCGGAGCAUGAGCGUACAUGUUGAGACCCGAAAGAUGGUGAACUAUGCUUGCGCAGGUUGAAGCCAGAGGAAACUCUGGUGGAGGACCGCAGCGAUUCUGACGUGCAAAUCGAUCGUCAAACGUGAGUAUAGGGGCG
This 950-nucleotide ribosomal RNA is filed under the name Perezitrema bychowskyi. RNAcentral's name for it is "eukaryotic LSU rRNA". It matches the Rfam family "Eukaryotic large subunit ribosomal RNA", at positions 359 to 925 of the family's 3401-position model. Lineage: Eukaryota; Metazoa; Platyhelminthes; Trematoda; Plagiorchiida; Macroderoididae. The record is from RNAcentral.